Molecule: long non-coding RNA, 4676 nt
Organism: Plodia interpunctella (Indianmeal moth)
Lineage: Eukaryota; Metazoa; Arthropoda; Insecta; Lepidoptera; Pyralidae
Exons: 3
Source: RefSeq, a predicted model, not a curated record
GCAGGUACCUACUCAAAAAUCAACUUUCCUUAUAAGGACGCUGUGUAAAUUUACAUAUCCGUUAACUAAAGUUAGUCAUAGUCUUUUGUACUUGUCCUUAAUACUAUCUCUAAGUCCUAUCUAACUAGGUACUUAGUUUAGUUUUUGACGAGAUGUACGACGCAAGUAAACCUAGUUUGUAUACCUAAAUAACUUAACUAAAGAAAAUACAUAUCUAAUAUCACAAUGUACUUCAAUGUUCUACAUACAAACAAAUAGAAGUACCUACAUAACAUCCAUUACUUAAAAUAAUAUGAAAUCUCUAUAUAAUCUACUUAACGCUAAAAAGUUUUAGAUAUUUUUUUGCAUUUUGAAGAUUAGCAAUAUAGGUAUUAUCCAUGUAAUAAAGGCACACUCAUUGUGGUAAAUGUAGCAGAUACUUGGAUGUGUACGCUGAAAGGGCAAACUCUCAAUUUUAAUUUCUACAUUUACCAUUCUUAUAUGAAAAACAUACAAUGUAUUUACAAACACAAACUUUGCAAUUUGAUUUCAAUCAGUAUAUUUUACAGAUUUCGUUAGCUUCAUUACCAACAGCCCGUUACUGGUAUUAAUAUCGGAUCAAGGCGAGUUAUUUCAGUUGUUAAAGUGACGUCAUUCAAAUAAUCGACAGCGACCAAGACCAAAAGUAAGGUCACUACGCAACCCACAGACUCGAAAAUCGAGGCAAACAAAUCACAGUGUACUUAAUUCUGUAAUGCGUGUGCCAGACAGAAGACACAUUUGUUUAUACGAAAGGAAGAUAUUUCGAACCUUAUGAUAUGAAGUUGUUGGAGUAUAGGGAGGCCGAGACGAGGUCGUCGACAUGCGCGGGCGUCGACAUCGCGUCAUCAUUGCGAAUCACUUCUCUGGGAAAAUGCAAAUGCGAGUAUCUAUAAAUUACAAAUAAAUUGUAGUUAUCAUUCGAUCAACCGACUCAUCUUGCGGGAAACUGUGCGAGAGUAGAGUAAGUAACCAGGUAGUUAUAUUUUCUGCGAAUAAGUAACUAGGCAUUUCCUCUACUAGUUCCUUCGAAUAAAUUUUAUUAUUUUUCAUCGAAAACAAAGCAACAUAUCGGAUUGGUACGACCUAAGCUACGACGAUAAAUCUUUUGAUAUUUUACCACGUUUUAGUAUGAAACAAGAUCAGAUUUAAUAACAAGCAACACAGAAUAGUUUUGUCUUUCUAUUCUGAAUGUUACAUAUCGAUUUCAAUAAAACAAAUAGGUAGCUAUCUACCUAUUUGUUUUUAAGUAACUAAGUCUAUGUGGCUUCUAACGGAAAGAUAUUCGUAUUGAAUGGACCUAUUCAAGAACAAAAUUACUUAGUAGAGUAAUAAUUAGAUGCGCUGUACGAUUUCACAACCUUUUGAAAACAAAGAUCAUACCAAGUUCAUUACACUUUAUCUAAAUUAUGACAUGACGUGUCCGAAGUCAGAAUACCCACUCCAAAAGUGAAGCAUUCUGCACCCUCUUCAAGUACCUACAUAUAGAUAAAAAUAAAAUUGUUUUAAAAUCAUUAUAGUUUAUACAGUCAUUCCCUACUUAUUAAGUACUUUAAGAAUUUAUCAGCUUUAAUAAAAGUGUGACUGUACCUUUCAAAAAAUAUUGUAUAAUGCAUCAUGGGCAGCAUCAGAGCCAGCCUCGCAGAGCGGCCUUUACACAGGAUUUCCGGUGACUUCAGUGUGCACACGCACCGACAACCUUCUUUUUUACACCACGCUGACAGCUACCUACCCAACUCGUAGAUAAUUGGAAGAUUACCUUCAUGACAUUGGCUCCUAUUGUUGUUGCAUUUAACAUUUGAAGUUUUCGUUUUUUUAAUCGACGGAAGUGAUGUGACUGAGUUCAUUCUACUGCCUCUAAAUUUCUAACGCAAGUAAGUACAUUGCCACGCAAUAAGUUCCUACUUAAAAAACUGUACAUACAGCAAAUUUAUCGCUUUUAGGAUCUUUGUCAUUUGCUUUGUAUUUUAAUGUACCUAUAUUUAUUUGUAUUCAAUUUACCUUGUAAUAGCGGGAAGGCGAUACAAUGUUAUUUGUUUAUGCUACGUGCUUUUAUGCGUUUAAAUUUAUUCUAACUAGACGUUUGUUGUAUAAUAAAAAUUAACUUAAGAGUUCUAUCGUUUGUCUCAAUAAUAACGUAACACGUGCAGUAAAGUAACGCGCUCAACAAUAACAAACGGUAUGGUUUGUUAUUGUUGACUAUUAUUUCUGUGCGUACGAUAUGGUCAAGGGAGUCUUAGGUAACGUUAUACCUAACCGUUUCAUAAUGACCUUGAUAAUGAAUUUAACGACCUCGGUGGCGCAGUGGUAAAGUGCUUGCCUCUGAACUGAGAGGUCCUGGGUUCGAUCACCGGUGGGGUCAUGAUGGAAAAUGAUCUUUUUCUGAUUGGCCCGGGUCUUGGAUGUUUACCUAUAUAUGAAUUUGUUAUAAAAUUUAGUAUCGUUGAGUUAGUAUCCCAUAACAGUCUAGAACUUACUUUGGGGCUAGCACAAUCUGUGUGAAUUGUCCUAAUAUUAUAUAUUUAUUUAUUUAUCUAAUCAUUCUUCCGUUUCUGCGCACGCUUGAGAAAAUUGACAGAAAGUCGACCGGAUCGUGAUGAGCGUUUAGCUUCAGAGCGUUCCAAGAUGGCAUCGUCUAGAUCCCACUCUUUGAGAGUCUUUUGAAAGAGAAUCAUGUUUGGAUACUGCCUCUCGAUCUAUAUCAAUAAAAUAUAUCGACUUUUCUCAACUUUGCUCAAUAAACAUACUUAUAUGCACGCAAUGUCAUGCUUCGAAAUGGCAUGGAGAGCCCAAAGGUAUCUGUUGUUCAACAGGCAAAGUUGGACUGCCUCUGGAAUAGUUGUUAUAUGGAGAAGAUCCGCAAUCAAAAUUAGGCCUACAAUAGCGCGUUCCAAACAACGUUUUUUGGAGCCAAUUAAUUUAAUUUCAGAAGGAGCGUUCGUCCUUCAAGAGCGUUCACCUUUAAAAUUCAUAGCCAAGUUUAUCAUCUACAUAGUUUAUUGGUGCUGAAUGACGUUUCAAAAUUUCUGCAAAUAUCAAGACAAGGCAGAUUUAAGGCUACUGAGGCCUCAAAAAACUAUUCCCGUGGCGAUUUGCAAAAAACCUGUCUUUUAUAGGUGGCGCUAAAUGCGCUGAGUUAAUUCCAAAUCGAUAAAGAUUAAAUUUGGCAGGAAGGUAUAUUAUGGAUAGGAGACGUCCGCUGAGAAAGGAAUUUUGGAAAUUCUUUCCCUAAGAGCGUGAAAUAAGGGUUGCAAGAUUGUAUGAAAUUUCUUCAAUUUAGAAGUAUGCCAUGAAAUUUUAGAUUUACAUUUUCAAACUAUCCAAAUCCAUUGCCGUGGGAUUUGCGAUAAAAGACUGCCAAUAAAUAAUUUGAAUUUUAAUACUAUAAAAAUCAGUGUAUGUAGGAUUUUUACAGUUCCCGUUAUAUUUAUUGGCUCCGAACCCGCCACAUAACCGCGAAAAUACGUUUGUUUGUCACUUUAUUUACUUAACAAAUCUUGAAAUUUUUGAAACUUGAAGAAUGGCAACCAAAAAGUAUUAUUCCUGUGGGAUUUGCUAGGAAUGACUCUACAAUAUUGCAUUGCUUUAUUUAUUCAUUCAUACAGUCAUGGAUACAGAACAAAGCACUUCUUCCUUUCUUUCCUAGCUUCCAGCCCAAUAAUUACCAUUAAUUUUCCAUGAAGGUUGCAGAAGUAUUCAUCAGAAACAGUCAUACAUUUCCCAUGGCCUGUAGCAUCUUUACGCGUGUCCAGUGCUCAGAAUUUGUUUACAUUCCAAUUGGGAGAACAAGCAAUAUUCUAUACAACAAAGUUCUAAAAUAAAUUUCAGAUUUUUUCAAUCCUAUUCCAGUUUUUCGAUCUCAACUAAUUUGGGUGUUAUAGAGCUGCAUACAGAUCAAUCAAUCAAUCGUUUAAAAACAGUAUUAAUGAAAUCGGUGAUAUCAUUUUUGUUUACGUCAUGAGAAUCCGAUAAAAUGUAGUUUUACAUAUAAACGUCAUUCGAAGAUUUUCCCCGUAAUGACUCACACCAAAAUAAGAAAAUAAACCGUUAGGCCAAGACGAUUGCAUCUACGCUUCGGAGAAGAUCUUUGUUACAAUUACGUGAGGGCUGGUUUUCCAAAUUAUUUCAAGAGUUUUUUUUUUGUGAAAUAUGUAGUUACAUAAUCUACGACGACAGAAAACAUCAUUAUAUAGAAUUUCUGAUAAAGCAACUUGAACAUAAAAUAAACACGGUAUAAUUUUCGAAUUUAGUCAUUAAAUCUACGUCGUAGAAUUAUUCAAUUUGUACCUAGAAAUGCACGAAAUGCACUUUCAUAGGAAGCAGCAUCAUUGAUUAGGCACGCCACAAGACAAUAGCAUUCGCGUAGGUUCUCAUCUCCAAGGUCCAUCAGCAGCUUCCCGCGUGCAACUUUCACCGUUCGAUAAUCCUCAUUGUCUGCGGAUUGGUUUCCUUCCUACGCGUUUCCUAUUCCUAUGUCGCAAUCUAUUCCAUUAACGAGUAAUAUAUCUAUAUCAUAUCUGAUAUUGGGACUUGACUUCCAUAUAUAUUUUUGCAUCUUGAUUUCGCAUAAAAUAAAACUUGCCUAAUUUAUUUCACCGAUUGCGUGAGACUAGCAAUUUUUUAGCCAAAGUUCGAAUGGAAUCAAUUGCCAUACAAGA